AUCACUUCUUGGCUUUCUGGUUAAGAUCAAGUGUA
This 35-nucleotide small nuclear RNA is filed under the name Cervus elaphus hippelaphus. Lineage: Eukaryota; Metazoa; Chordata; Mammalia; Artiodactyla; Cervidae. The record is from RNAcentral.